Molecule: long non-coding RNA, 1936 nt
Organism: Cyanistes caeruleus (blue tit)
Lineage: Eukaryota; Metazoa; Chordata; Aves; Passeriformes; Paridae
Source: Ensembl
UGAAACCCUGUUUGCACUAUAAUAUAAUUUUAAUUGGAAGGAGAAUGAUGAUUUCUGAAAUUAUUUCUGAACCACAGUUACCACUCUUCUUGCUAUAAAAAUGAUUAACUUGUAGUAGGAUGUCACACACUCGUCACUCUUGCUUCAUUUCCCUUGUUAAUGACUAAAAUAUGUCUUACUUCAUCAGUCUUAAUUUAGGUCUGACUCUUUAUUCUGGUUCAGUGGCUGCUUGAAUUCCUUAAGAAAGAAUUUGUGUGCUUGCCUGCUGCCUAUGGGAAGAAGCCUUGUGUUUGAAGGCACAAAUAAAGCCAAAAUAUUUCUUAUCCAACAGAUCCUUUCUGGUCAACAACAAGAGCUGUGGCAUUACAGUUUUCCUCUAAGAGGUGCAAGAUUGAUGCUUUAAUUCAACCUUUGCCAACACUUUGUAAUUAAGCAAGGAAAUUUUCCAAGAGGAAAUUCCUGUGCUAGGUUGACCAAAUUGAUUACCAGGUUUUUAGUUCAUAGAUCUCCUUUGUUAUCAAAACCCAAGCAGGCUGAAAGAUAUCAAAGCUUCACUUGAAGGUAAAAGCAGUUAGCUGGAAGUGUUUGUUUUCUCUGGGAUUGGUUGGACAUUGGUCAGCAGACUCCUGUACAAGCAGCAGGUGAGUAAUUUUCAGAGGGUAAUUUGAACCCAUCCCAGGGAAGGAGUACAAGCUGGUUGAUACGAGUUUCUGCUGGUGAUGGGCCUGUUUUCUUAAAUAUUUCUGUGUGGGGAACAGCAACAAUCUCAUAAAUACCAGCUAGGGCUGCCAUCUGCACUGCUGCUGUACAGAAAACUGCUCAAAGGGCAGGUGCAAUAAAAACCACUUGACAACAUUGCAUGGGCACUGUGGAAAAUGGCCUUAAGAAAUGAGAAUUUCCAGAAACACCCAAAGCCUGUGCUUCAGAUCUUAACAUUUUACCACUGGCACUAAUUGGUCAGACAAAACAAUCCUCUGCCCCAUUUCCCGUGAAUUUAGUCCCACUGAACUCGUCCAGCCGGAUAAAGAGGAUUUCCACACCUUUCAACACAGCUGCAAGGUGCCUGUAGAAGGAAAGCAAGCAGUUCACCUCUUGUUGAACUGGCUGAAGUGGCAGAGAGAGUUUGGAAGUGCAGAUUCCUGCUCAGGAGUGAUGCAAGAGCUCUGUGCUUGGCUGUCCUGCCCUUUCCUGAGCUCUCCAGGCUCAAUAAUAAUAAUAAUUCCCAGGGUGUGGGUUGGAUACUUCCUUAAGGAGCAGCAGGAUGGCCACAGCCACCACGGUGCCUGUCAUAAAUAUUGGCAACGUUUGGGUGCGUUUUAAUGUGUUUGGUUUUUUUUUUCCUACAGCUUUUAAAUACAAAAUAAGCCUCUUAUUUAAAAUUAAUCCAUAAGGUUCGUGUGUCUUGAUACCAGUCAGAUUUGUUGAAAAUGCCUAGUCAAUACAUAGCCUUUUAAUAGUUUAAGUGUUGGGAACUGCCAGAAGACCUUAAGGCAAAGAAUUCACAAAAUAGCCAGAUUUUAGCAUCCCAUUACACGCCCCAGAAUGGCAGGCUUGGAGCUAACAAUUCAGGAAUGUGUCGGUACUUCAGCACUUGCUUGAUCCCUGACUGAAAGGCUUGGAAUUUCUGUCUUAGAUAUGCUGAAGGUGAUAAAUUAGCCCGUGAGUUAUUUCAUCAGCACUGAUUGACAUUCAAACACUCUGAGUUAGUCACUUAGGAAAGGACUUGAAGGAGGCCACUGGGUCUCCUGCAUCCUGUGCACUCAGAGUAGGUAAAUUUGAUGUAAUUCGGAUGCAACCAGCCCGCACAAAUCCAAAAAUCGUAGCACCGUGUGACCGGGAUGCAAAAGCUGCAUCCCUUGACUCUUCUCUAGGUGGGAGAUCAGGCUCGGAAUGGAGCAAGAACAGCGGGUUUUGGCUGUGGUGGGAUUUCAGCUAU